UACGGGGGGGGUAAGCGUUGUUCGGAAUUACUGGGCGUAAAGGGCUCGUAGGCGGCCAACUAAGUCGGACGUGAAAUCCCUCAGCUUAACUGGGGAACUGCGUCCGAUACUGGAUGGCUUGGAUUUGGGAGAGGGAUGCGGAAUUCCAGGUGUAGCGGUGAAAUGCGUAGAUAUCUGGAGGAACACCGGUGGCGAAGGCGGCAUCCUGGACCAAUAUUGACGCUGAGGAGCGAAAGCAUGGGGAGCGAACAGG
RNAcentral lists this ribosomal RNA (253 nucleotides) under uncultured bacterium. RNAcentral describes it as "partial 16S ribosomal RNA". It matches the Rfam family "Bacterial small subunit ribosomal RNA", at positions 524 to 776 of the family's 1533-position model. The record is from RNAcentral.